Molecule: long non-coding RNA, 1359 nt
Filed under: Bos grunniens (domestic yak)
Lineage: Eukaryota; Metazoa; Chordata; Mammalia; Artiodactyla; Bovidae
Description: lncRNA (ENSBGRG00000004792.1)
Source: RNAcentral
AUUUACAUUACCAAUCCCGAAGCAAAAAGGAUCCCCGACGCCUGCGGCUACAAAGCAGCUCCGCAGCGGAGUGCGCGAAGGGCAGGAGCGGACGCCCCCUGGCGGCGCAGCCCCGCGGGCCCGAGGCGCCCAAACUGGCCGCCAGGACUCCAGCCCGCGCCGCACCAUCGCACCCCGAGUGGCCCGCACCCCCUCCCGACCCGGCCCGCCAGCUCCAGCGGCCCGGCGGCAAACCGCUACGGUGAGACCUGGCUGCCGCGUAGGCAAUGCCGCGCCGGCACACAGCGCCGACCCAGCGGCUCGGAGCUGGGAGAGAAAGGUGUGAACCCGGAAGUACAUCGCCUGCCCGCAUCUCGGUGGGAAAACGGGGGCAAUAAAUCAGGGCCGGCGAAGGCAGGACACCGCUCCGGCUUCCGAACAACAACUUGCUGCGAGACCUGUUACUUCCCCACCUGGCCCCGUUCUUCCCCCUCCCUGGCGCUCACGCCUCCUCCCUUCUCCCGGCUGCGCCGCACCGAGCUCCCCUCGACGUUGCUCACGUGCCAGACCCGGGGCCGCGAGCGCCGUCGGCACCCGCGCGCACACCCAGCCCCUCGAACACUCGCCCGGCCGCGGGGCGCGCUGCUUACCUCCGGGGCCUCAUGGUCGCGUUGCUCGCUCGGGCAGAGCGGGGGAGAGGGUGUGAGUACGUGUGUGGCGUUCAGUCCGGGGACGGGGCGGAGGAAGGGGCCUGGACUCUGUCACUUCCUGAGGGAGCGCGGCGGCCGGACACCCGGGAUGCGCGCGGCGGGGCCGGGCCGCUCAGCACAUUGUGAGCCGGCGAGGGGACGCGGCGCGGAGGGGCCGGGGAGCGAGGGCGGCGCUCGGCUGCCGGACUGGAAUCCGCUGUCGCCGCCGCUCGGCCGCCACAGCCCGGCGGGGAGGAGGGGGCCGGGCCGGGGUGGGGGGAACCGCGGGGCGCGGCGGCGGCGGCGACACCAGACUGCUCGACUGGAGCCCUGCGUCAGGCGGCGGCACGCGCACACCUGCCCGCCGCCGCUCCGGGCCGCACUAUUGGCUGUCCGCGCGGAGCGCGCGAGAUUGAACUUUCCAUUCAUUCUUGGGCCUGCCGGGCGCGCGCGGCGGCGGCGGAGCUUUCACCGGGGGCUCUCGAGGACGCGCGCUGCCCGCCCCAACCGAAAGGCGCGUCCCCGCGCGGACUGUGGGCGCGCACGGUCGCUGCCGCCGGCUCUUCGAGUGGCGGUUGCGAGCGUCGGGGCCUGUCACUUGGGUCCCGCUGCGCGCUGCACGGGCUCCUGGAGGACCCUCAGCCGGCGGUCUCUGGGCUGCGCCUGGAAGGAGGCAGCAGCGAAACUGUAA